RNAcentral lists this ribosomal RNA (590 nucleotides) under Escherichia coli. RNAcentral's name for it is "partial 23S ribosomal RNA". It matches the Rfam family "Bacterial large subunit ribosomal RNA", at positions 350 to 944 of the family's 2925-position model. The record is from RNAcentral. Lineage: Bacteria; Pseudomonadati; Pseudomonadota; Gammaproteobacteria; Enterobacterales; Enterobacteriaceae.
GCGCGCGAUACAGGGUGACAGCCCCGUACACAAAAAUGCACAUGCUGUGAGCUCGAUGAGUAGGGCGGGACACGUGGUAUCCUGUCUGAAUAUGGGGGGACCAUCCUCCAAGGCUAAAUACUCCUGACUGACCGAUAGUGAACCAGUACCGUGAGGGAAAGGCGAAAAGAACCCCGGCGAGGGGAGUGAAAAAGAACCUGAAACCGUGUACGUACAAGCAGUGGGAGCACGCUUAGGCGUGUGACUGCGUACCUUUUGUAUAAUGGGUCAGCGACUUAUAUUCUGUAGCAAGGUUAACCGAAUAGGGGAGCCGAAGGGAAACCGAGUCUUAACUGGGCGUUAAGUUGCAGGGUAUAGACCCGAAACCCGGUGAUCUAGCCAUGGGCAGGUUGAAGGUUGGGUAACACUAACUGGAGGACCGAACCGACUAAUGUUGAAAAAUUAGCGGAUGACUUGUGGCUGGGGGUGAAAGGCCAAUCAAACCGGGAGAUAGCUGGUUCUCCCCGAAAGCUAUUUAGGUAGCGCCUCGUGAAUUCAUCUCCGGGGGUAGAGCACUGUUUCGGCAAGGGGGUCAUCCCGACUUACCAACC